CCUACGGGUGACAGCAGUGAGGAAUAUUGGUCAAUGGACGAGAGUCUGAACCAGCCAAGUAGCGUGAAGGAUGACUGCCCUAUGGGUUGUAAACUUCUUUUAUAUGGGAAUAAAAUGUUCCACGUGUGGGAUUUUGUAUGUACCAUAUGAAUAAGGAUCGGCUAACUCCGUGCCAGCAGCCGCGGUAAUACGGAGGAUCCGAGCGUUAUCCGGAUUUAUUGGGUUUAAAGGGAGCGUAGGUGGAUUGUUAAGUCAGUUGUGAAAGUUUGCGGCUCAACCGUAAAAUUGCAGUUGAAACUGGCAGUCUUGAGUACAGUAGAGGUGGGCGGAAUUCGUGGUGUAGCGGUGAAAUGCUUAGAUAGCACGAAGAACUCCGAUUGCGAAGGCAGUUCACUGGACUGCAACUGACACUGAGGCUCGAAAGUGAGGGUAUCAAACAGGAUUAGAUACCCCUGUAGUC
This 460-nucleotide ribosomal RNA is filed under the name uncultured bacterium. RNAcentral describes it as "partial 16S ribosomal RNA". It matches the Rfam family "Bacterial small subunit ribosomal RNA", at positions 338 to 795 of the family's 1533-position model. The record is from RNAcentral.